RNAcentral lists this ribosomal RNA (253 nucleotides) under uncultured bacterium. RNAcentral's name for it is "partial 16S ribosomal RNA". It matches the Rfam family "Bacterial small subunit ribosomal RNA", at positions 524 to 776 of the family's 1533-position model. The record is from RNAcentral.
GACGAACCACACAAACGUUAUUCGGAAUUACUGGGCUUAAAGGGUGCGUAGGCGGCGCGGAAAGUUGGGUGUGAAAUCCCUCGGCUCAACCGAGGAACUGCGCCCAAAACUACCGUGCUCGAGGGAGAUAGAGGUGAGCGGAACUUAGGGUGGAGCGGUGAAAUGCGUUGAUAUCCUAAGGAACACCCGUGGCGAAAGCGGCCCACUGGGUCUCUUCUGACGCUGAGGCACGAAAGCUAGGGUAGCGAACGGG